UCAUGUGACCCUUAACUUUAAGGUUCUUACGUCACAAUAUCACUUUCUCUUUUCACUUGCAUUCUUUGACUUGCACUAGUGUCAUAUACACUACUUUGUUCUUUAUACUCAUUUACUAAUGCCACACUUAUUCUCUAAGGUAUCGUUUGGUUCGAGGAUAAGCAAAAAAUGACUAUUCCAGGAAUAGGUAUAAAUUGAGGUAUAAGCGGGGAUUAGAUCAAUUUUGCGUUUGGAUGAAAAUUGCGUUAUUCCUGGGAAUAAAAAAAAUAGCGUUUGGUUAGAUAAGAUGGAAUAAGAAAGAUAGUGGAUUUUAUAAAUAAAAACUAAUCAUAUUAUUCUCUUAUUAUAUUUGAAUUUAAAUUUUUAAAUUUUUAAAUAUAUAUUUUUAAAUUUAAAAUUUUAACUUU
This 407-nucleotide long non-coding RNA is filed under the name Ananas comosus (pineapple). RNAcentral describes it as "long non-coding RNA (ACOM_LNC029312)". Lineage: Eukaryota; Viridiplantae; Streptophyta; Magnoliopsida; Poales; Bromeliaceae. The record is from RNAcentral.